This 292-nucleotide ribosomal RNA is filed under the name uncultured Alphaproteobacteria bacterium. Its description in RNAcentral is "partial 16S ribosomal RNA". Lineage: Bacteria; Pseudomonadati; Pseudomonadota; Alphaproteobacteria. The record is from RNAcentral.
GGACUACAGGGGUAUCUAAUCCUGUUUGCUCCCCACGCUUUCGCGCCUCAGCGUCAGUAUCGGUCCAGAGAGCCGCCUUCGCCACCGGUGUUCUUCCCAAUAUCUACGAAUUUCACCUCUACACUGGGAAUUCCACUCUCCUCUCCCGAUCUCUAGCCAUCCCGUAUCAAGCGCAGUUCCCAGGUUAAGCCCGGGGCUUUCACGCCUGACAAAAAUAGCCGCCUGCGCGCCCUUUACGCCCAGUAAAUCCGAACAACGCUCGCCCCCUUCGUAUUACCGCGGCUGCUGGCAC